AGUGAACGCUGGCGGUAGGCCUAACACAUGCAAGUCGAACGGCAGCACAGUAAGAGCUUGCUCUUACGGGUGGCGAGUGGCGGACGGGUGAGGAAUACAUCGGAAUCUACUUUUUCGUGGGGGAUAACGUAGGGAAACUUACGCUAAUACCGCAUACGACCUACGGGUGAAAGCAGGGGAUCUUCGGACCUUGCGCGAUUGAAUGAGCCGAUGUCGGAUUAGCUAGUUGGCGGGGUAAAGGCCCACCAAGGCGACGAUCCGUAGCUGGUCUGAGAGGAUGACCAGCCACACUGGAACUGAGACACGGUCCAGACUCCUACGGGAGGCAGCAGUGGGGAAUAUUGGACAAUGGGCGCAAGCCUGAUCCAGCCAUGCCGCGUGGGGGAAGAAGGCCUUCGGGUUGUAAAGCCCUUUUGUUGGGAAAGAAAAGCAGCAGGUUAAUACCCCGCUGUUCUGACGGUACCCAAAGAAUAAGCACCGGCUAACUUCGUG
Molecule: ribosomal RNA, 492 nt
Filed under: uncultured bacterium
Lineage: Bacteria
Description: partial 16S ribosomal RNA
Rfam family: Bacterial small subunit ribosomal RNA
Source: RNAcentral